CGUAGGGACCAAGCGUUGUUCGGAUUUACUGGGCGUAAAGGGCGCGUAGGCGGCGUGUUAAGUCAGCUGUGAAAUCUCCAAGCUUAACUUGGAACGGUCAGCUGAUACUGAUGUGCUAGAGUGCAGAAGGGGCAACCGGAGUUCCUGGUGUAGCGGUGAAAUGCGUAGAUAUCAAGAGGAACACCUGAGGUGAAGACGGGUUGCUGGGCUGACACUGACGCUGAGGCGCGAAAGCUAGGGGAGCAAACGGGAUUAGAUACCCCGGUAGUCCUAGUCCUAAACGAUGAAUACUUGGUGUCUGGAGUUUUUAUUCUCCGGGUGCCGUCGCUAACGUUUUAAGUAUUCCGCCUGGGGAGUACGCACGCAAGUGUG
Molecule: ribosomal RNA, 372 nt
Filed under: uncultured organism
Description: bacterial SSU rRNA
Rfam family: Bacterial small subunit ribosomal RNA
Source: RNAcentral